AUACCUUGAACAAGGGAGUCAGAGGUUGCUAUGAGCCAAGAUCAUGCCACUCCACUCCAGCCUGGUGACAGAGCGAGACUCUGCUUAAAAGAAAGAAAGAAAAUUUGUGCUGGAGAGAAGCCCUACACAUGUGGCAAAGCGUUUAAUUGGUCGUCAACCCUUAAUACAUAUAAUUCAUGCUGUAAAGAAACUUCACAUGUGAACAAUGUGGCAAAGCCUUUAAAUGGUCCUCAGCCCUUAAUGAACAUAAGAGAAUUCAUGCUGGAGCGAAACCCUUCACAUAUGAAGAAUGUUGCAGAGUCCUUACCACAUCCUCAAACUUUGUUAAACAUAAGAGAAUUCAUACCAGAGAGAAAGCCUACACAUGAAGAAAAUCCUUUAAUAGGCUCUCAAGAGACCCUUACUGUACACAAGAGAAUUCAUUCUGUGGAAAAGUUCUACAAAUGUGAAGAAUGUGGCAAAGCCUUAAGACAGUUUGCAUGCCUUUAUGAAAAAUUCAUUCCACAAACUUGCACUGAGAAGACAGGAGAAAAGUGGACAUAAGAAUUUACAAUUAAGAAAAGGUUGUAAAAGUGUAGAUGAGUGUAAGGUGCAGAAAGGAGGUUAUAAUGGACUUUACCAAGCUUGUCAACUACCCCCAGCAAGAUAAUUCAAUGCAAUACAUGUGUCAAAGUUUUUAAUAAAUUUUCAAACUCAUACAAACAUAAGACAAGACAUAGUGGAGAGAAACCAUUUAGAUGUAAAAAAUGUGGCAGAUCAUUUCCCAGGUUUCUACAACUAACUCAACAUAAGGGAAUACAUGCUGGAGAGAAACCCCUCACAUGUGAAGAAUGUGGUAAAAUCUUUACCUCAUCCUCAAGCUUUGACAAACAUUAAGAGAAUUCAUACCAGAGAGAAACCCUACACAUGUAAAGAAUGUGGCAAAGCCUUUAAUAGUUCUACAAGCCUUACUAAACAUAAGGAAAUUCAUACUGGAGAGAAACCCUACCAAUGUGAAGAAUGUGGCAAGGCCUUUAGUCGGUCCUCGGCACUGAAUGAACAUAAGAAAAUUCAUACUGGAGAGAAACCAUACACAUGUGAAGAAUGUGGCAAAGCCUUUAGACAGUCCAGAAGCCUGAAUGAACAUAAGAAUAUUCAUACCGGGCGCACUCAUUGUGAACAAAAACUUUACAAAUGUGAAGAAUGUGGCAAAAUCUUUACUCAGUCCUCAUCCCUUCAUAAACAUAAGAGAAUUCAUAGUGGUGAGAAACCCUACACAUGUAAAGAAUGUGGCAAAAUCUUUUAUAGGUCUUCACACCUUAGUGAACAUAAGAGAAUUCAUUCUGGGCAAAAACCCUACAAAUGUGAAGAAUGCGGCAAAAUCGUUAGUCCUCAGCAUGAAUAA
Cebus imitator (Panamanian white-faced capuchin) is the source of this 1384-nucleotide RNA transcript. It is a transcript of the gene named zinc finger protein 595-like, with no coding region annotated. The transcript is spliced from 3 exons. Lineage: Eukaryota; Metazoa; Chordata; Mammalia; Primates; Cebidae. The record is from RefSeq and is a predicted model, not a curated record.